UAGAAGUAUCAAAUGCACAAUAGGAGGGU
Molecule: non-coding RNA, 29 nt
Filed under: Rattus norvegicus (Norway rat)
Lineage: Eukaryota; Metazoa; Chordata; Mammalia; Rodentia; Muridae
Source: RNAcentral